GUGAAUCAUCGAAUCUUUGAACGCACAUUGCGCCCCCUGGCAUUCCGGGGGGCAUGCCUGUCCGAGCGUCAUUUCUGCCCUCAAGCACGGCUUGUGUGUUGGGUGUGGUCCCCCCGGGGACCUGCCCGAAAGGCAGCGGCGACGCCCGUCUGGUCCUCGAGCGUAUGGGGCUUUGUCACUCGCUCGGGAGGGGCCUGCGGGGGUUGGUCACCACCACAUUUUUUACCACGGUUGACCUCGGAUCAGGUAGGAGUUACCCGCUGAACUUAAGCAUAUCAAUAAGCGGAGGA
This 290-nucleotide unclassified non-coding RNA is filed under the name Talaromyces sp. Its description in RNAcentral is "partial contains 5.8S ribosomal RNA, internal transcribed spacer 2, and large subunit ribosomal RNA". The stretch from base 1 to 71 matches the Rfam family "5.8S ribosomal RNA", at positions 84 to 154 of the family's 154-position model. The record is from RNAcentral. Lineage: Eukaryota; Fungi; Ascomycota; Eurotiomycetes; Eurotiales; Trichocomaceae.